This 593-nucleotide ribosomal RNA is filed under the name Brettanomyces bruxellensis. RNAcentral's name for it is "eukaryotic LSU rRNA". It matches the Rfam family "Eukaryotic large subunit ribosomal RNA", at positions 53 to 657 of the family's 3401-position model. The record is from RNAcentral. Lineage: Eukaryota; Fungi; Ascomycota; Pichiomycetes; Pichiales; Pichiaceae.
GAGGAAAAGAAACCAACAGGGAUUGCCCCAGUAAUGGCGAAUGAAGCGGCAAGAGCCCAAAUUUGAAAUCGGGCAACCGAGUUGUAAUUUGGAGACGGGACACUAGAGAGGAGGAAGGCGAUUAAGUGCCUUGGAACAGGCUGCCGUAGAGGGUGAGAGCCCCGUGAAUCGCUGGAGACCGAUCAAUUAGUGCCCGCCGAAGAGUCGAGUUGUUUGGGAAUGCAGCUCUAAGUGGGUGGUAUAUUCCAUCUAAGGCUAAAUAUUAGCGAGAGACCGAUAGCAAACAAGUACAGUGAUGGAAAGAUGAAAAGAACUUUGGAAAGAGAGUGAAAUAGUACGUGAAAUUGUUGAAAGGGAAGGGUAUUUGAUCCGACAUGGUGUUUAGCAGCGGCCCGUUCCUCGUGGAUGGGUGCACCUGGUUUACACUGGGCCAGCAUCGGUUCUGGGAGCCAUAUACGGGGUUCGUGAAUGUGGCCCUUCGAUUCUGUCGGAGGGUGUUAUAGCGCGGACAUCUUGUGGCUAGCCGGGACCGGGGACUGCGGUGACUUGUCACCAAGGAUGCUGGCAGAACGAGCAAAUACCACCCGUCUUGA